UGNGUUCGAGGCUAGCCUGGUCUACAGUC
Molecule: non-coding RNA, 29 nt
Filed under: Mus musculus (house mouse)
Lineage: Eukaryota; Metazoa; Chordata; Mammalia; Rodentia; Muridae
Source: RNAcentral